Molecule: small nuclear RNA, 25 nt
Filed under: Arabidopsis thaliana (thale cress)
Lineage: Eukaryota; Viridiplantae; Streptophyta; Magnoliopsida; Brassicales; Brassicaceae
Description: snRNA_15335
Source: RNAcentral
GUCUUAGGUUCAAUAUCUUUUGUAC